CCUGCUCAGCUCAGACAACCUCCGCUUGCUGCCCUCCGUGCGAGCGCUUUGGGAGACACAUGCGCGUCGCCCAUGCCCCCUUCUCGCUGCCCCCCCCAUAUACACACUAUCAUCUAUACUAGCAAGCCGACAUAGGCCAGGCUGUGAAGCCAUGUCGUCUGCUUCCGGCACCGGCCAGAGCACUCCCGCCGGCUCACGCCCUGCACACCGCACAGCCUUACGCAAGUACUUGCGCGUCGGGCCCUACCCGCGUACUUGCGCUGAAAUGGAAUACAUCUACCUAGGUC
Molecule: long non-coding RNA, 287 nt
Filed under: Chlamydomonas reinhardtii
Lineage: Eukaryota; Viridiplantae; Chlorophyta; Chlorophyceae; Chlamydomonadales; Chlamydomonadaceae
Description: long non-coding RNA (CREI_LNC000277)
Source: RNAcentral